UCAAGUUUGAUUUGUAAAAGGAAAUUAAAAUAAAUAAAUAAAUUUGACCAAAGGUAAAUGACAAAGCAAAGCGUGAAGAUUCAAAAAUGGGAAAGUUGAGGGGGGAAUACUCAUUGCAUUGCAGAAACAGUUAAAGCUACCGAGUCAAAACCCAUCCAUCUGCCAUCAGAAUUGAAUCGGAUCUGAGUCAACUCGCUUGAAUCGCUUCCCAUUUUCAGCAACUUCAUCUCUCCCUUUUCCUUCAUCAUCUCUACAGCUUUCGUCCUUGUUUCACCUACCAAUUUCCAUAAAGCAUCAUUCCUAUUCCUAUUUGCAAACAACAAACACAAUCUCUCUUUGCAACCCUCGGAUCUCUUCAAGUUACCCAGAAGCUGAGUCAACUCAAUAUAACUCAAACUCGGAAUUCUCUCCCCGAGUUCCAUAACUCUGAUUGAGAUUUCACGUUGAACAGACCUGUAAUCCUCAGAAACCAACCGAACUAUCUCAUAGAUCAAAUUAUUCUUUAGAAGAUGUAAAGAAUCAGGAAAUUCACUUACUACUUC
This 542-nucleotide unclassified non-coding RNA is filed under the name Hevea brasiliensis (rubber tree). The record is from RNAcentral. Lineage: Eukaryota; Viridiplantae; Streptophyta; Magnoliopsida; Malpighiales; Euphorbiaceae.